RNAcentral lists this signal recognition particle RNA (266 nucleotides) under Caldisericum exile. RNAcentral's name for it is "signal recognition particle sRNA large type". It matches the Rfam family "Bacterial large signal recognition particle RNA". Rfam says of the family: The signal recognition particle (SRP) is a universally conserved ribonucleoprotein involved in the co-translational targeting of proteins to membranes. Archaeal SRP consists of a 7S RNA and homologues of the eukaryotic SRP19 and SRP54 proteins. The record is from RNAcentral. Lineage: Bacteria; Pseudomonadati; Caldisericota; Caldisericia; Caldisericales; Caldisericaceae.
CUGUGCUAAAGUGGGGAGAUAGCGGUGCCCUGUAACCCUGAACCCGCUAUACAGGGGCUGAAAAUCUCCUGGAAGGCAUACAGUUGUAAACCAGGGCUGAUUGAAAGGGCGAUGAAGGCAGGACCUCAAGCAGUAUCAACCCUUGAACCCCGUGAGUUCCGGAAGGAAGCAGCGGUAAAAGGGCCGGAUACCUGGCUUGAGUAAAUCUUACUGGAGCCUCGUAAAUCAGUACAGUUUGUAACUGUAUGUCGACCAGAGACGCACAG